GAGAGAGCUAUGUGAAGAAUGAAGUUAUGUUUCUGUAAGCAUAGUUCCGUGGAACUAUCAGAAACCAGGAGAGAGGACUGCAAUAGAUCCUUCCUAGAACCUUCAGAGGGAGCAUGGCCCUGCUGACAUCUGGAUCUUGAACCGCCAGCCUCCGAAACUGUCUGGCCUUUCAAGUCUAAAUCCUUGGACCAUCUGGACUUGGUUUCGGUGUAUGGUGUGAGGAGGAGGAAAACAAGAAGGACCACAGGAAAAGAAACUUCUAGUUAAUGCUGCCUUCUAAGGCUCUUGCCAAAACACUGCUGCUCACCAAAACCUGGGCAGGAAACCCUUUUAACACACACACAGGCCAGCAUCCUACUGAAAGAGUCAAGGCUGACAGAAGCUCAGGAUAAGUUAGAGGAAUUGCUCAUUAAAAAAUUGACAUUUGCUUUGUCUAAGGCCUUGCCUGAUCGGUAUCAGGCGGUGAGCGAUCUCAAAAUACAAUAUGCGGAUGGGAGAGGUUGGGGGGCGUGUAUCGCUUCUGGAGGUUUCCAGGUACUCGGCCCAAUCAACACAUAACCCUGGGUGCCUCAAAUCAUCACCUCUUUUUCCUUUUAAAAAAUGUCCUAAACUCUAUCUCUGUCUGCCUGGGACAUGGUGUAAGGUUAAAGAAGCACAUAUUGAAACACAAAUCAGAUCCUCUGGCCAAUUCCUCAUGGCCUUGAUCUUACUUGCUUCCCGACAUCUCCUUCCUCUUUUCGGCUUUCUCCCUCCUCCUUCCCAGUCCAGUGUAGGAGCUCCCAGUCAGUAGUUAUUCAGUGUAUAUUAUAUGCCAGGGGCUUUGCCUGCCUGCUCUUGGUUUAUCAAGAUGUAAUGGAGUGGAGUUAGAAUGGCUAAAAGCACAGCCUCUGGAGCUGGACAGCCUGGGUGCAAAUCCCAGUUCUGUGGCUUUGGGCAUGUUACUUAAUGCAUGCCUCAGUUUCCCCAUCUAUAAAAUGGGAUGAGAACAAUCGUUAAUACAAAAGAAAUGCUUGGGGUGCCUGGGUGGCUUAGUUGGUUAAGCAUCUGCCUUCACCUCAGGUCAUGAUCCUGGAGUCCUGGGAUCGAGCCCCAUGUCAGGCUCCCUGCUAGGCAGGGAGCCUGCUUCUCUCUCUCUCCUCCAGCUCCUGCUCUCUCUUGCUAUCCCUGUCUCUGUCUCUCUCAAAUAAAUAAAUAAAUAAAAUCUUUUAAAAAAUUAUUUAAAAAAUAACAGAAAUGCUUAGCACCAUGCCUGACACAGUGAGUACUACGGCAAAGUCCGCCCUCUUUAAUUACUAUCCUCACAACACUGCCCCAAUUCCCCAUGCCGCAAGCAUUGCAUUAUUAUCCCUGAUUUAUAGGUGAGGAGUUGGGAUCAAAUUCACACAUCUGGUAAAAGGUGAAGCCGGGACCUUCACCAGAUCCGUCUAACUCUAAAGCUAAUACUCUUUACACAACAAUAUUUAUUCAAUUCAAAAACAUCUAACGAGUUCCUUCGCCAUGCCAGAAAUACUGAGAAUAAACAGAAGCAGAAGCUGAUGUUAUGGAGAGUCUGGCUAAGCCUUGAGCUAUACAUCAACAGGAUGCGGAAGGGGACGUUCCCUGUUGGACCCAGAACUGGCCGCCUGGGCCCACAGCUGGGGACAAGGGACAGGCAUGAAGGAGCAGGCAACCAGUGGGGCCCAGGACCUCCCUCUGGGAUUUCUAAGAGGCAGAGACCGGGUCCUGCAGUAUUCCAAACCAUCGCCAUUCCCUGCCUCUAGAAGCAGAAGAGGAGAUGCUGGCUGAGUGGGGAAACCUGAGGACUGUCCCUGCCCAUCCACCCCACAGCUGAGACAGAUGGCUGCCAAGAGAGUCACAAAGAUCACACACCCCUACAGGAAGGGGAGAGUGGCACCUUCUUCUCUAUAGGCAUUUGUUUAACCAGGGGUCUUGCUCAUCUGCUUUUCACCGUUCUGAUCAGACGAGUGGUGGAAUGGUAAUAAGUGGCAAGCAGAGGGAAGGGAGAGCAUAGAAGAUCCUGCACUCGGAGCCCUCGAGGGGGCAAGAGUGAGUGUGGGGACACAGAAGGCACCACCCCAGCCCCCAGGCCUGACCACAUCACUGCCAGAGACCACCGAGCUCCCUACUGCCAGCCCCACAUCUCCCCAUCUGAGGAGUCUCUCUGGCCACCAGAGUCCUCCUUCUUCAUGUCCAUGCAACAGGCUGGAGGAGCCCCAAGGAAUUAAGGGUUUCCAGAAGCAGCCCUCAACCUCUACCUGCAGGGAGCUGGUGAGUAAACUCUCUGGCACCGUCACCCCUACACUGAGUGCCCAGGAGGAUCAUGACCCAGGUGCCCACGGUGGUAACCUGCCUGAUAACACGUCCUUUAGUACAGGUCUCAUCCCCCUGCUUCCCUUCUGGUUUUUCUUGGCAUUACCCCCAAAUAAAACACUUGUA
Mirounga angustirostris (Northern elephant seal) is the source of this 2436-nucleotide long non-coding RNA. RefSeq lists it as uncharacterized. The transcript is spliced from 3 exons. NCBI's taxonomy places the organism in Eukaryota, Metazoa, Chordata, Mammalia, Carnivora, Phocidae. The record is from RefSeq and is a predicted model, not a curated record.